Herpailurus yagouaroundi (jaguarundi) is the source of this 2699-nucleotide long non-coding RNA. RefSeq lists it as uncharacterized. The record is from RefSeq and is a predicted model, not a curated record. NCBI's taxonomy places the organism in Eukaryota, Metazoa, Chordata, Mammalia, Carnivora, Felidae. The transcript has 2 exons.
GGGCAUGAUAAAACACGGAUUGAUAGCCCCGGGUGCGUUUCACGGCUGCGGUGUUCCCCGAGAGCCAGCAAAUUGGCAAAUGUGACAAACUGCCAGGAGACGCAGAUGCUGCUGGGCCUGGACCACGCUGCACACUCACUGCCCCGCUUCACCAGGGGCCCGGCGUCCAGCGGGGGGCCAGGGCUGUGUCAUCCGAACGUACCAGAAAAACAGCCUGUCAGCUUGGGACACAGGACCUUGAACAGGACAGGUGCCAGGCGUAAAUGGAAGGCGAGCUUGGCAAAUUGACUGAUACAGAGUCGGGUUCCAGGACUGGAAUAUCGUUUCCAGCGAGCUACGGACAGAAAACAAACCUGAGACUUUGGGAAUGGGCUCACCCAGGCAGGUGCUCAAUUGUCCAACUUGGUUGGCUUUCUGGAAGGAAAGAGAGAGACUAAAAUGUAGGGAUUCUUAACCUGUUUUUGGUGCCAUGGCCGUCUUGUGAGGCCCAUGGACCCCUUCUCAGAAUAAUGCUUUAAGCGCAUGAAAUAAAACAUUGACGAUUAUAAAGCAAACUACGCUUCUCGAAAUUAAAAACAAACGUUGAUAGCAUAGUAUUGUUUCUUUACUAAUGCAUUAAGAUCUAGCACCAGGUGUAAUGACAACUAGAUUUCAGAGAGACGAUAAAAGAUAUUUUGACAUAACUGUAACAUCAGAAAUGUAACGUGAAAACACCUGUAACUUCUAUUAGUGCAAAGAGACAGGUUCUUCUAAUACUAUUGUGGUGAAUAUUCAUAAUUGGGAAAUGCUGAAUUUUGCUUAGAGGUUAGCGAAAAUGUGGAUGUAAUCUUUCUUCCCCAUCCACGUUUUGGGAUUCCCCACAACCCUGCAGUUUUGUCUAUGGACCAGGUAUCUGUAGACCCCAAGUUAAGAACACCUGGCUUUAAUAAUCUUUUCUAGUUAAUGAUGACAGGUACCACUUACUGAGUGCUUACUAUUUGUCUGUUGGACUUAUACGUAAUAUUAUUACGUAUUUUCAUAGCCAUUCUGUGAUUUAGUUAUAACUAUUGAAAAGAUGUAGGAAUGGAGGCUUUCCUAGGUUAAAUAAUUUGCCUUAAAAAUUCAAAUUCUUAACUCUCAGGUAUCUUACUACAAUUUUGGUCUUCCAAUCUUGAUGUAAAUGAGUAAUACUUUUUAAAUACAAACUUAGGUAUAAGGUUUUAGAGCUGGUUCCAAAACAAGGAGAAUCAGGCAUUUUUUUUGGUUGCCCAUUUGUUGAUUACAACUAUGAUGGUUUGUGUUCUUUGGUUUUAACACCUCUGUAAGCAUGUUUUAAAGUAAUUUUUAACACUACUGUGAUGAAGCACAGGACAUACAAAAUGCAUAUCUCUUUCUGUUUUCUUUCUUAGCCAUUUUAUAUUACAUUGUUUCUCAGAAGGAGACAAGGGUGGUUUAGUGAAGAAUAAAAUAACAAGGGUACAUAGAGAAGUUAAACACACACACACACACACACACACACACACACACACACACACACACAGAGUAUCUUCGGGAUUUCAUGAUCAUUACCCCUGGGAGAACUCCUUUCUACUUCCUAGUGUUGUGUCAGAGACCCCCAGGACCUCAGAAAUCUUUAAUAAAAGGCAAUCACAUAGGUUAGAUACAAUUAUCUUAAAAACUCUUCCGAUUUUCUGGUCAUUGGUAGGCCUGUUUUAGGCUUACACUGUCUAACACAGAAACCAUUUUUCACAUGUGGCCACUGGGCGGGGACUUGUAGUGUGGCUGGUCCAAAUUCAUACAUGUUCUAAGUAUAAAGUAUACACUGGCCUUUCAAAGGUUUAAAUUGUUUCCAUUUCAUUUAUUUCCUUUUCCUUUUUAAGAUGUGGCUACUAGAAAAUUUAAAAUUACACGUGGGUUGCUCACUGUUUCUAUUAGGGCUGGUUUAGAGUAGAAGGGUUGACCUGUAUGUAAAGUUACCGUAAAAGGAAUAAACUGAAGCAUUUAAAAACUACUCUUUUUAGUUCUAACAGGUACUGGCCUAGUUGAACGUAAUUAUAUCCCGCCUUAUUUCAGAAAGGAUUAUAGAUCACCUGCAGGGAAAAAAGACUAUUGACUAAAGGAAUCAGGAAAGAAUAAAAAAAAGGUAGAAUGGUUGAAAAAUAAAAGCCCCAAAGCUAAAGUUAGACCCCAGGUCUGGAUCUUAACUGGUUAAGACAAAGGGAAAAUCAAUGAGAAAAUUUGUAUGUCUACAGGAUGAAAACAUACCAGUUGUGCAGGAGGAAUGACUUUGCCCGGCCCUGAGCCACAGUAGAUGUUUCUCUUGGGUCCUCAUAAAGGAGACACUGUGAUGUAGUGAACAGCAUCCCCAGCAGUUUGCCUACCACGAAGACAAUGGUGGAGAGUAAAUUCAGGAAAUUCAUCUUGGUUGACAACACAAGUCCACUACAUGUAUUUGGAAUAAAUGAAUGAGCUUCUCCUUGGCGUCCAGCCUGAGGUUAAACCUUUCGCUGUGAAGGUGUCCCUUGCCAUGUGGAUGUGCUACAGUGGUGAACACGUAUGUGUGUGCAAAUUUUCUAUCCACCGAUGGUGCACAUUUCUUACAGUACUAAAAACUGGUCCUUCAGAAGACCUUUACAAAUGUGUAUUUCUGUAAGUGCUAUUUUGUAGCAGGGAAACUUUGGGUUGCUUUAUGGCAGAGAAAUGAAUCAGCCUAUAAAUUA